UCGGGAAUUUUGGGCAAUGGGCGAAAGCCUGACCCAGCAACGCCGCGUGAAGGAUGAAGUAUUUCGGUAUGUAAACUUCGUAAGAAUAGGAAGAAUAAAUGACGGUACUAUUUGUAAGGUCCGGCUAACUACGUGCCAGCAGCCGCGGUAAUACGUAGGGACCAAGCGUUGUUCGGAUUUACUGGGCGUAAAGGGCGCGUAGGCGGUGUGUCAAGUCAGUUGUGAAAUCUCCGAGCUUAACUCGGAACGGUCAACUGAUACUGUCACACUAGAGUACAGAAGGGGCAAUCUGAAUUCUUGGUGUAGCGGUGAAAUGCGUAGAUAUCAAGAGGAACACCGUGAGGCGAAGGCGGGUUGCUGGGCUGAUACUGACGCUGAGGCGCGAAAGCUAGGGUAGCAAACGGGGAUUAGAU
Molecule: ribosomal RNA, 413 nt
Filed under: uncultured bacterium
Lineage: Bacteria
Description: bacterial SSU rRNA
Rfam family: Bacterial small subunit ribosomal RNA
Source: RNAcentral